This is a long non-coding RNA of Scleropages formosus (Asian bonytongue), 545 nucleotides long. RefSeq lists it as uncharacterized. Lineage: Eukaryota; Metazoa; Chordata; Actinopteri; Osteoglossiformes; Osteoglossidae. The record is from RefSeq and is a predicted model, not a curated record. The transcript has 3 exons.
AUUAGCUGGUCUUAUUGAUUUUCUUGUUUUAUUUUAGGUUUUAUUAUUGGUGCCAGGGACGAACACUGGAGACAGUUAAGUGGCGGACCCAAGUGUGGGUGAGCUUUAUUCAAGCAACCAGGUUCCACGGACAAGGCGAAAUCAAGGCUGAGGACAGGCAAAGAUCUGAGAGGCGCGAACGUCAUCAACUGGGAGCUCAUUUGGUCCUCAUGGGGAGGAUGGAACAGUCAACCCAACCGCCCAGACAGUCCCAACCACCCCUCCGAUGACUGAAAAAAGUACUGGGACCACAGUGUUCGCGAGUGUAAACUCGAAAGAACGUGGAACGGGAUGGUUUUUCCAGCCACAGAAACGUCCAGAAUCGAUCGACUCUCGGCUCUUCGGACCAGCUGACCCAGCAGCGGCGGCCACAAGAUUCUUUUACCACACUGAGCUGAACCUCGGCGUCCAUACAAGCUGGACAGAAGUGUUGCAAAUAAAUUAAUAAAACAUGAAGGAUCCAUGUUAACAUGCCUGAGUGCCGCGUUCUCCAGUGGGGCUGUGCC